This is a long non-coding RNA of Parus major (Great Tit), 418 nucleotides long. RefSeq lists it as uncharacterized. The record is from RefSeq and is a predicted model, not a curated record. The transcript has 2 exons. NCBI's taxonomy places the organism in Eukaryota, Metazoa, Chordata, Aves, Passeriformes, Paridae.
AUUGAGGGAUUCUCCUCCCAAACAGGUGUCAAACAGCACAACAGCCAUGCAGCAACAUCUGGGCUGCCCUCAACAUCUGGGCUGCCCUCAACAUCUGGGCUGGCAAAGCAGGGGAGACUCUCCAGAAAACACAGAGCUCUUCAAACACAGCCAAAUCCUUUAACUCCAGAACACCAAAGGAUGAGGAGGUUUGGAAGCCGCUACAGGAACUUGGAACAGGAAAAAUGAGAUGCACAAUUCCACAAGGAUUAUCCCCAGUGCUUCUUUCUGCACAGGGUUUCCUUUCACUCAGCACCAUCAGAUGGAUCAAAACAGGAUCAGAAAAUAAAGGAUCAUAUGAGAGAGGAGAGGGGAUGGAUUGGGUCAAGGAGUUCCCAGCAGCGGGGUGAAUAAAAGGAUUUAAACAAGUCCCAAAAAA